AAUAUUGUCAGCUAAUAAAGCUAAUGAGUUCAUACCUCAUAAAUGGAAUUAUUA
RNAcentral lists this transfer RNA (54 nucleotides) under Neoscona nautica (brown sailor spider). Its description in RNAcentral is "tRNA-Met". Lineage: Eukaryota; Metazoa; Arthropoda; Arachnida; Araneae; Araneidae. The record is from RNAcentral.